GACAGAGGGUGCAAACGUUGUUCGGAAUUACUGGGCGUAAAGCGUGUGUAGGCGGUUUGCUAAGUCGGGUGUGAAAGCCCCGGGCUCAACCUGGGAACUGCAUCCGAGACUGCUUUGCUCGAGUAUGGGAGAGGGAAGUGGAAUUUCCGGUGUAGCGGUGAAAUGCGUAGAUAUCGGAAGGAACAUCAGUGGCGAAGGCGACUUCCUGGACCAAUACUGACGCUCAGGUGCGAAAGCGUGGGGAGCAAACAGG
RNAcentral lists this ribosomal RNA (253 nucleotides) under uncultured bacterium. Its description in RNAcentral is "partial 16S ribosomal RNA". It matches the Rfam family "Bacterial small subunit ribosomal RNA", at positions 524 to 776 of the family's 1533-position model. The record is from RNAcentral.